RNAcentral lists this ribosomal RNA (731 nucleotides) under Bacillus cereus. RNAcentral describes it as "bacterial SSU rRNA". It matches the Rfam family "Bacterial small subunit ribosomal RNA", at positions 57 to 768 of the family's 1533-position model. Lineage: Bacteria; Bacillati; Bacillota; Bacilli; Caryophanales; Bacillaceae. The record is from RNAcentral.
GCAAGUCGAGCGAAUGGAUUAAGAGCUUGCUCUUAUGAAGUUAGCGGCGGACGGGUGAGUAACACGUGGGUAACCUGCCCAUAAGACUGGGAUAACUCCGGGAAACCGGGGCUAAUACCGGAUAACAUUUUGAACCGCAUGGUUCGAAAUUGAAAGGCGGCUUCGGCUGUCACUUAUGGAUGGACCCGCGUCGCAUUAGCUAGUUGGUGAGGUAACGGCUCACCAAGGCAACGAUGCGUAGCCGACCUGAGAGGGUGAUCGGCCACACUGGGACUGAGACACGGCCCAGACUCCUACGGGAGGCAGCAGUAGGGAAUCUUCCGCAAUGGACGAAAGUCUGACGGAGCAACGCCGCGUGAGUGAUGAAGGCUUUCGGGUCGUAAAACUCUGUUGUUAGGGAAGAACAAGUGCUAGUUGAAUAAGCUGGCACCUUGACGGUACCUAACCAGAAAGCCACGGCUAACUACGUGCCAGCAGCCGCGGUAAUACGUAGGUGGCAAGCGUUAUCCGGAAUUAUUGGGCGUAAAGCGCGCGCAUGUGGUUUCUUAAGUCUGAUGUGAAAGCCCACGGCUCACCCGUGGAGGGUCAUUGGAAACUGGGAGACUUGAGUGCAGAAGAGGAAAGUGGAAUUCCAUGUGUAGCGGUGAAAUGCGUAGAGAUAUGGAGGAACACCAGUGGCGAAUGCGACUUUCUGGUCUGUAACUGACACUGAGCGCGAAAGCGAUGGGGAG